This is a long non-coding RNA of Mytilus californianus (California mussel), 700 nucleotides long. RefSeq lists it as uncharacterized. The record is from RefSeq and is a predicted model, not a curated record. Lineage: Eukaryota; Metazoa; Mollusca; Bivalvia; Mytilida; Mytilidae. The transcript is spliced from 3 exons.
GUCAUACUUCGUGAUCAUCAGCUGAUCGGGCACCUUGUCAUGAGUGUCUUAUCACGUAAACACACGUUUCAAAGAUGGAUAUUGCUAUUAUUUUGAGAAAGAUUAUCACUACACAUUAGAAUGAAAUUUCUAAUACCCAGAGAAAACAUAGUUUCCACAAUGCCAAACAAGAGGUCUCCAAAAUCACUUUGGUGACUUGUAAGCAAUGGUAUUAUACCACACAAUGAAACUGUGAGAGAAAAAGACUGCACUUCCUUUAUUUUGAAAAUGCAGCAAAAGGAAAUUGUGUAUCAUAUAAAAACUACAGAGAUGAUUCUGGAUCUAUGCAUGAAAAGAGAAAUGAUAGAAAAUAUAUAUGUGAGAAUUAGUUUUUGAUAUAUAUCAAAGAAGACUGAUUACUGAGCUGUGUAUAAGAUAAUUCAUGACAUGUUACAUGUGAAUUAAAGGAAAAUUGAAGAAAAGGAAAUUGUCGGAUAAAACAUGUUAUAAUAUUGUGAUGAUUUAAAAUCUGUGAGAAAUGAAAUGUUUAUGACUAUUUAUGACAUUAAUUACUAAGAUGUCAAAACAGACUGAUAGCUUUAAAUAAAAAUGUGUAAAGCUGAUUUGUGGCAUACAAAAAAGUGAAUUUAAAAUAAACCAGUUGAAAAACAUUGAAGGCAAACAAUGUUUAGUAUUACAACAAAUGGAUAUCAAACAAGGA